UACGUAGGGUGCGAGCGUUAAUCGGAAUUACUGGGCGUAAAGCGUGCGCAGGCGGCGCCGCAAGUCAGGCGUGAAAUCCCCGAGCUUAACUUGGGAAUGGCGCUUGAAACUACGGUGCUGGAGUGUGGCAGAGGGAGGUGGAAUUCCAUGUGUAGCGGUGAAAUGCGUAGAGAUGUGGAGGAACACCGAUGGCGAAGGCAGCCUCCUGGGCCAACACUGACGCUCAUGCACGAAAGCGUGGGGAGCAAACAGG
This 253-nucleotide ribosomal RNA is filed under the name uncultured bacterium. RNAcentral's name for it is "partial 16S ribosomal RNA". It matches the Rfam family "Bacterial small subunit ribosomal RNA", at positions 524 to 776 of the family's 1533-position model. The record is from RNAcentral.